RNAcentral lists this ribosomal RNA (433 nucleotides) under uncultured bacterium. Its description in RNAcentral is "partial 16S ribosomal RNA". It matches the Rfam family "Bacterial small subunit ribosomal RNA", at positions 29 to 507 of the family's 1533-position model. The record is from RNAcentral.
AACGAACGCUGGCGGCAGGCCUAACACAUGCAAGUCGAGCGAGGACUUCGGUUCUAGCGGCGGACGGGUGAGUAACGCGUGGGAAUGUGCCCUUCUCUACGGAAUAGCCCUGGGAAACUGGGAGUAAUACCGUAUACGCCCUAUUGGGGAAAGAUUUACCGGAGAAGGAUCAGCCCGCGUUGGAUUAGGUAGUUGGUGGGGUAAUGGCCUACCAAGCCGACGAUCCAUAGCUGGUUUGAGAGGAUGAUCAGCCACACUGGGACUGAGACACGGCCCAGACUCCUACGGGAGGCAGCAGUGGGGAAUCUUAGACAAUGGGGGCAACCCUGAUCUAGCCAUGCCGCGUGAGUGAUGAAGGCCUUAGGGUUGUAAAGCUCUUUCAGCUGGGAAGAUAAUGACGGUACCAGCAGAAGAAGCCCCGGCUAACUCCGUG